GAGUUUGAUCCUGGCUCAGGAUGAACGUUGGCGGCGUGCCUAACACAUGCAAGUUGAGCGUCGCACUGGAUUUAUUCAGUGUGUAGCAGCGGACGGCUGAGUAAUGCACAGGAACGUACCCGGAAGUGGGGGAUAGCCCAUCGAAAGAUGGGGUAAUACCGCAUGUGAUCGCAAGAUCAAAGCCGCAAGGCGCUACCGGAGCGGCCUGUGUCCUAUCAGGUUGUUGGUGGGGUAAAAGCCUACCAAGCCUAUGACGGGUAACUGGUACUGAGAGGAUGACCAGUCAGAUCGGGACUGAGACACGGCCCGAACUCCUACGGGAGCAGCAGUUGGGAAUCUUGCGCAAUGGACGAAAGUCUGACGCAGCGACGCCGCGUGGAGGAUGAAGGCUCUAGGGUCGUAAACUCCUUUUGCUAGGGAGUAAUUUUUGAAAGUACCUAGCGAAUAAGGACCGGCUAACUCCGUGCCAGCAGCCGCCGUAAC
Molecule: ribosomal RNA, 483 nt
Filed under: uncultured bacterium
Lineage: Bacteria
Description: bacterial SSU rRNA
Rfam family: Bacterial small subunit ribosomal RNA
Source: RNAcentral